UGUUGUUGAUGAAGAGAACGUCGGUAUUGAGGGAAAACAGAGAGGCGGGGACGGCUCCGUUGAACUGGUUGAAGCGGAGGUCGAGGAAGGUAAGGUUGGAGAGGGCGAGGACGGCGGUGGGGAAGGCGCCGGAAAGGAGGUUGUUGCUGAGGUCGAGUUCGUAGAGGAAGGGGAGGGAGGAGAGGGAGGGGACGGUGGAGGCGAAGCGGUUGGAGUUGGCGUGGAAGAGGGCAAGGUCGGGUAGGGCGUCG
RNAcentral lists this unclassified non-coding RNA (251 nucleotides) under Hevea brasiliensis (rubber tree). Lineage: Eukaryota; Viridiplantae; Streptophyta; Magnoliopsida; Malpighiales; Euphorbiaceae. The record is from RNAcentral.